UCUAAUACCGGAUAUCACUCCCGCAGGCAUCUGCGGGGGUCGAAAGCUCCGGCGGUGAAGGAUGAGCCCGCGGCCUAUCAGCUUGUUGGUGAGGUAACGGCUCACCAAGGCGACGACGGGUAGCCGGCCUGAGAGGGCGACCGGCCACACUGGGACUGAGACACGGCCCAGACUCCUACGGGAGGCAGCAGUGGGGAAUAUUGCACAAUGGGCGAAAGCCUGAUGCAGCGACGCCGCGUGAGGGAUGACGGCCUUCGGGUUGUAAACCUCUUUCAGCAGGGAAGAAGCGAAAGUGACGGUACCUGCAGAAGAAGCGCCGGCUAACUACGUGCCA
This 334-nucleotide ribosomal RNA is filed under the name Streptomyces yokosukanensis. RNAcentral describes it as "bacterial SSU rRNA". It matches the Rfam family "Bacterial small subunit ribosomal RNA", at positions 162 to 510 of the family's 1533-position model. Lineage: Bacteria; Bacillati; Actinomycetota; Actinomycetes; Kitasatosporales; Streptomycetaceae. The record is from RNAcentral.